GUUCCCCUCUGCCUGCAAUGUACCAGCCACGAGUCAGAGCUGGCUUGGGCUGCUCUCUUGGCUGCUGGGCCCUCGUCUCGUUCCAGGAUGUCCCCAGCACGCAGCUCCACCCACCAACUGCAGGACCUGCUCAGUGGACAGUUCUAAGCAGGCAAAUGAAAGGGGCCAUCUUCUGUUCACAGAGUUCAG
This 189-nucleotide long non-coding RNA is filed under the name Chinchilla lanigera (long-tailed chinchilla). RNAcentral's name for it is "lncRNA (ENSCLAG00000023574.1)". Lineage: Eukaryota; Metazoa; Chordata; Mammalia; Rodentia; Chinchillidae. The record is from RNAcentral.